ACGCUAUAUUUAAUAGUUUAUUAUAUUCGUAUAAAACAAGUUAAUCGUCAUGCGUCUUGUAAUAACCAAUAUUCUACUAGUUAUUAUGGUGGUUAUAGUCUCCACGGGAGAUCAUCGUCCUUACAGUUACCUCUACACUAAAUAUCCACCACCAGAUCCCUGUAGAGGCGUCAGAUGUUCGUUUGAUGCCACGUGUAGAAAGGGUAAAUGUUUAUGUGGAAAUGUGACUUGUUCUAGCGGUGCCAUAUGCAUCAAUGGUGCCUGUGAAUGUCCAGGGUAUUAUUUUGGUACCACUCCAAACUGUUCAAUUCCUGAAAGAUGUAGCAACUGUCAGAAGAAUGAAACAUGUACCUCUUUUAGAUUUGUACCAGAGGAAGGCGCUCGGAAUCGAUGUAACGACUACGUGACAUGUGACGGACCAAGAGGAUCCUGUCCAUUUAUAGGCUGCCUGGACGGAGGAAUAAGAUGUAUAGACAACUAUUGUAUUUGGCAUGGCCCUUCUUUCUCCUACUUUUUUGGUGUAUGCAACAGGGGAGAGUCGUGUUAUGUUGGGAGUAUCUAUGUGUGUAAUGAUGACUCUGACUGUGGUUAUGUUGGUAAUUGUACAAGAGGAUGUUGUGAAUAUGGCAACAGUUCAAUAUACGGCUGUGACAUAUCGUAUGCAACAGAGGUGUGCGAUGGCCUUUGUACAGGAUACUUUUAUAAUCAACCCCAGUGUAUCCUUACAAGUCAUUUACGCAUCUUCUUUGUGGAACCAGGACUCCAUCUUACUGGUAGUGAAAAUUAAAUAAAUGCAUUUGUUAAUGGC
Molecule: long non-coding RNA, 808 nt
Organism: Patella vulgata (common limpet)
Lineage: Eukaryota; Metazoa; Mollusca; Gastropoda; Patellidae
Exons: 9
Source: RefSeq, a predicted model, not a curated record